This 467-nucleotide long non-coding RNA is filed under the name Brachypodium distachyon (stiff brome). RNAcentral's name for it is "long non-coding RNA (BDIS_LNC005423)". The record is from RNAcentral. Lineage: Eukaryota; Viridiplantae; Streptophyta; Magnoliopsida; Poales; Poaceae.
GGGCGGCAUUCGGGGCGCCUCUUUUUGAAACGGCGAUUAUGAGAGGAAACUUCAAAUUGAUUUUCUGAAUCGGUUCCUGGGAUGGUGAGAAUUGAUGGGGUGGUUUUUUUUCGGAGAGAGAUGUGCGGGAAGGAAAGAAAUCGAAGGAAGAAAACAUGGAAGGAGGGAUUUCGUUAGGUGCAGAGGAGACGAGCACGAGCUUCUCGUGCUCGCUGGCGUUCGAGAUGGGAUGGGCCGGCCCAGUUGGGUCGGUCCAUUCCUUUUUUUUUCCAUUUUCUGUUUUUAUUAAUAUCUUUUGAUUCCUAACUCCAAAUAAGGGCAAAUAAACUCGAGUAAAUUUGCAAAUUCAAAUCCUCCAAAGUGUGAACUUUUGGGACUUGAAUCCUUUCAAAAUAAAAUAAGUAAAAAUACUUUUGCUUAUAUAAAUGUCAUUUGGGCUUUAUAAGUAAUACACAAAAUAGGUUUUG